This is an RNA transcript of Brachypodium distachyon (stiff brome), 2309 nucleotides long. RefSeq lists it as uncharacterized. The transcript is spliced from 3 exons. Lineage: Eukaryota; Viridiplantae; Streptophyta; Magnoliopsida; Poales; Poaceae. The record is from RefSeq and is a predicted model, not a curated record.
CACAUGCUCUCUAGGUUAUCACACAGAACUCCAAGAUGACAAAUAAAUCUAUCACCUUUAGAAGGAUUGGUUACUUCAGUACUGCUUUGAUAAGUUAUCUCUGAACAUCAAAAGGAAAAGAAAAUAUAUAACACCCCUGCCUCCUGUGACAUCUGAAGAUCCAAUCAUCAGGUUUAUUCGGCAUAGGCCAUAGCAGUUUCCAUAUUCCGUUUUCUAUGUUCUGGACGGAAAUUGGGUUCCUGGAGAUAACAAUGCUACUUUCAUUAUGUUCUGUUUUCUGUUGCAAGCUCACAACCGAUACUGAUGAUGUGAAUUUUGAUAUGGUCAAAAAUACAGCAGUGGUUAUUAUUUUGGUAGACCAUUGACCAUAUGCUCUGCCAUCACUGUGGCCUUAAUGAACAACACAGCUAAUAUGCUCAUGAAUUUGUAGAUAUGUGCAAUUCUAUGGACAGGGCUGCAUUUUAUGAAUUUGGUGUGUAUAGUGCCACAAUAUGAAACCAUAAGUUGAAUUGAAACAUUGACACUGUUGGGAAUUGAAAAAUAAUAAUGAGAUGAGGUAAUAACAGGGGAAACAACAAGCGACUAUGGUCCCGAGUGGAGAAUAAAUUACAGAGGCAUUAGUAUUCGGAAACAGCCAAACAUGGUUAGAGUGAUCCGAAUAUAUCGAAAUUAUUUGGUUACAAUACACAAGAGAGGAUUUAGUGCAGAGAAUUGCAGAUCAAUUGUUGUCAGCCUAUCUUCCACGUGCCAUGUCACAUAUGAAAUAAUCUACAGUUUGUAUCCCAUCAGAGAACUACAGAGAAAUAAUAUUCAGCUUCAACUAUUAUUAUCUUGGAUAAAUAAUAUAUUGUUUAUUUUAGCUUGCAUGCAAGCUUAGAGCCUGAAUAAUAGUCCCCUCAAAAUGACUUUAUUACCAGUCUGUUGGUUUGGGGUACUUGUGGUUCAGACUGUCAAGGCUUAGGCAUGCAGAUUUAACUGCUCUCUUCAAUCUACUAUGUUUUUCUCCUAGGAGCAAUUAUCAUUUCGGCAUUAGGUUUAAAUACUCCUUUCAGUGCAGCGAAUAGAAAUUCCAGUGACAAAUAUAUGUGCUCUUUUGGAUUACCAUCACUGUUAUUUCUUCUGGUCUUCAUGUUGAUGUAUAUCUGAAUGAAACAUAUCAGAAAUACAUAUCGACCAUAUGGCAAUCCAUGUGUGAUGACUGAUACGAGGUGAAAAUAUAACAAGAAAUCUAAGGUAACAAAUAUUAAUCAGUGUGGAAACUGCAGUAUAUACUAUAUACCAAUAUACUAUGAUGCAUUUUCUUUAUACUAGCCUUAUGGUUCGAGGUGCCAUUUCUGUAACUUUGUUUCAAAGUAACUUUUUUCCAUUUGAAGUGUUAGCCUUGCAUUGCUUUCUCUUUAGAAAACUGGAAGUUUCGGGAUUAUAUCAAUUGAUGGUCUCUUAGCUGGAUACUUGCAAAAUGAAAUGCUUUCAGCAAAUUAAAUUAUUUUGAGGAAAAACUGAACUCAGAUUAAAGUCAUCAUCUAUUGCAGGGUGCUAUGGUACAGAUAACCAUACCCCCAAAAGUUGAAAAACAAUUUCGUCCACUGCUCUCUCUAGGUUCUGUCUACAUGUUGACAGAUGUUAGCGCUGUUCAUGCUACAUACAAGAAGUUCAUUUACCACCACCAAAGCUACAUGCUUCAGUUUAAAACAAGCUCAAAGGUCCAUCUAAUGCAAUCACGAGGAGUAAGUAUUCCUCAAUUUGCCUUUGAUUUCUCCUAGUUUGAUCAGCUUCCGUCAAAAGACAAUCAAUCCAAACCCCUUUUAGAUUUGAUUGGAUUCAUUAGCUACGUUGGUCCAUAUGACUACGCUAGCCCAGCGUCUCAGUACAAGCUCAGGAACAUCCAUAUCCGUAACCAAGAUGAACAAACACAGGAAAUAAACCUUUGGGGCGAGGAUGGUGAAACAUUUGACGAAAGUGCGGUCCUCAGCAAAUCAGAUGGGAAGAUUGUUGUUUGUGUUUUUGCUGGCCUGACCGUUGGAAAGUAUUUAGGCAAGUUCUCAGGAAAUUAUGAUUUCUAUUGCAUUAUAACUUUAUUAGUUAACCCGAGGCAUCUCAUGGAAUUAUUACUUUAGCACAAUUCUUUUGUUCUGUAGCUGUUUGAGUAUUACAGUAUUUAUCACAUUCUUGCACUAAUCAUGGGCAGAUGUAUUGUUUAAUAUCCGCGGCAAUGCUCGGGGUAACCACUAGUUUGUUUCAAUGUUGUACAACAAGGGGCUGUGAUCUUUUAUUGGGUUCAAACUUAUUCUGGUUGUUCAGAUUUGAUA